RNAcentral lists this ribosomal RNA (1238 nucleotides) under Escherichia coli. RNAcentral describes it as "partial 23S ribosomal RNA". It matches the Rfam family "Bacterial large subunit ribosomal RNA", at positions 506 to 1746 of the family's 2925-position model. Lineage: Bacteria; Pseudomonadati; Pseudomonadota; Gammaproteobacteria; Enterobacterales; Enterobacteriaceae. The record is from RNAcentral.
AGGGAAAGGCGAAAAGAACCCCGGCGAGGGGAGUGAAAAAGAACCUGAAACCGUGUACGUACAAGCAGUGGGAGCACGCUUAGGCGUGUGACUGCGUACCUUUUGUAUAAUGGGUCAGCGACUUAUAUUCUGUAGCAAGGUUAACCGAAUAGGGGAGCCGAAGGGAAACCGAGUCUUAACUGGGCGUUAAGUUGCAGGGUAUAGACCCGAAACCCGGUGAUCUAGCCAUGGGCAGGUUGAAGGUUGGGUAACACUAACUGGAGGACCGAACCGACUAAUGUUGAAAAAUUAGCGGAUGACUUGUGGCUGGGGGUGAAAGGCCAAUCAAACCGGGAGAUAGCUGGUUCUCCCCGAAAGCUAUUUAGGUAGCGCCUCGUGAAUUCAUCUCCGGGGGUAGAGCACUGUUUCGGCAAGGGGGUCAUCCCGACUUACCAACCCGAUGCAAACUGCGAAUACCGGAGAAUGUUAUCACGGGAGACACACGGCGGGUGCUAACGUCCGUCGUGAAGAGGGAAACAACCCAGACCGCCAGCUAAGGUCCCAAAGUCAUGGUUAAGUGGGAAACGAUGUGGGAAGGCCCAGACAGCCAGGAUGUUGGCUUAGAAGCAGCCAUCAUUUAAAGAAAGCGUAAUAGCUCACUGGUCGAGUCGGCCUGCGCGGAAGAUGUAACGGGGCUAAACCAUGCACCGAAGCUGCGGCAGCGACGCUGAUGCGUUGUUGGGUAGGGGAGCGUUCUGUAAGCCUGUGAAGGUGUGCUGUGAGGCAUGCUGGAGGUAUCAGAAGUGCGAAUGCUGACAUAAGUAACGAUAAAGCGGGUGAAAAGCCCGCUCGCCGGAAGACCAAGGGUUCCUGUCCAACGUUAAUCGGGGCAGGGUGAGUCGACCCCUAAGGCGAGGCCGAAAGGCGUAGUCGAUGGGAAACAGGUUAAUAUUCCUGUACUUGGUGUUACUGCGAAGGGGGGACGGAGAAGGCUAUGUUGGCCGGGCGACGGUUGUCCCGGUUUAAGCGUGUAGGCUGGUUUUCCAGGCAAAUCCGGAAAAUCAAGGCUGAGGCGUGAUGACGAGGCACUACGGUGCUGAAGCAACAAAUGCCCUGCUUCCAGGAAAAGCCUCUAAGCAUCAGGUAACAUCAAAUCGUACCCCAAACCGACACAGGUGGUCAGGUAGAGAAUACCAAGGCGCUUGAGAGAACUCGGGUGAAGGAACUAGGCAAAAUGGUGCCGUAACUUCGGGAGAAGG